Leptopilina heterotoma is the source of this 411-nucleotide long non-coding RNA. RefSeq lists it as uncharacterized. The transcript has 3 exons. NCBI's taxonomy places the organism in Eukaryota, Metazoa, Arthropoda, Insecta, Hymenoptera, Figitidae. The record is from RefSeq and is a predicted model, not a curated record.
CGCUAAUUAAAGAGAGGAAGAACGUCGCAAAUAUGGUGCCCCUUCGAAACAUGGACGUCAUUCUAGGAUCACUCGCAACUGAUUCAGUUUUCGAAAAGUUCGUAGUAAUUACUGGAAAAAAAUGGGAAAAGAAGUAUAUUCGUUGGAUUUAUAUAUAAAGUCUGGAAUGUGGCGAAUUAUUCCUCCUGUGAUUUAUACAACUACAGAUACCGGAAGUUGAAGGAAAAGUAGAGAACACGGGAAUAUUUGGAAUUUCUUUUUCAAAAAGAAUGCAGGGGAAAAUAUUUCUCUUGCGUCACAGGUCCAGAAUAAAUAAGAUAUAUAUGUGUAGUUACAUAAAAAAAAGAAAAAUGAAGAAAACUUUCAAGUCCGCAAAGUCAAUAUAAUAUUGGAUCUAAAGAGAAUAGUGGA